CUUCCUGCUUGUGUAUCCCAUACAAGGCCUAGACCACCAGAGAUCGAGGCCUGACGUUUUGGAAUGAUCCGGAUCAGUGCCCGUCUAUGUACAUAAAUCUGCCUCCAAAUCCCGCGGUCGUAGGUAUCUCUUCUUGCCCCUGCGGUGCAACCCUGCCACCACUGCCACUCCCAUCAGCUCGGGUCAUCCUCACUUGUGGAAAUGCUCGAGCAGCCUCAGGGAGGCCAGACUGGGGAAAAAAGGCCGGUGUGGCUGGGCUCGGCCUGGUGGGGCUGAGCAGGGGAGGGGGAGGCGCUGCGCCGCUCCCCGGCUCAUUCUGGGUAAAGGGUUGGUCUUUCUGAACCUCAGAAGGUGGUGGAACCACAUCCUGGUCACACCCGCCCACCCCUCGCCCUCUCCCUGCUCAGCCUGGCGCUGCCUUCCUAACCACCUACCCCGGCCGUGCGGGUUCCCAGAACCAGACCCUGCGCCAGCAGUGUCCUGGCUCCUCAGGGGGCGAGCACUGGAAGCCGGGGCCCAGGCCGCAGAGGUCCUUGGCCAGGGAUGUGUGGGUCCUGGUUGUGCUAGGAAGCUGCUAGCCGUCCGGUGUGGUGCCCGGAAGGCCUGGUCACGACAGUCCCCUGCCAGGCCACUGCUUCCUGUCUCAGAUGUCACCAGGUCCCCAGCACGGCACCCUCUUCUGGCAUGGCCUGGCCGCUGCUGCUCAUCUUCAUCGCUGUCCACCCAGGUGACCGGGUUUGCCCAGGACGCUAAGGGCGCGGCGCGGGAGGGAGCGCGUGGGGAGGCUGCACAAGGAUGCUGGGAAGCAGGUUCUGGGGUCUGAACCCUGCCGGGGGGCGGCGAACUCUUCACCUCUGUGACAGGAGGAGGGUGGAAGGCCCAGGUUCACAGUCCCUCAGGUCACCCCUGCGUCCUUCCCAGGAAGACAAAAUUGAAAGGACCACAAAAAGGGCUGGAAGGAAAGAGGGACUUAAAAGAAGCAGCCAGGAUUUUGGUCGAUUUUUUAAAGGGUAUUGAUUUGAUGUUUAAGAAGUAUUGUUACGCGGGAGGCUGAGGCAGGAGGAUUGCUGCAAGUUCCAGGCCAGCCUGGGCUACAAAGUGAGUUCAAGGCCAGCCUGAAAUGUGUAGCGAAACCCUGUCUCAAAAAGACAAGAAAAACCUUGGGAUAUAGCUCAGUGGCACAAGCUCCUGCCUGGCAAGUGCAAGGUCCUGAUUU
This 1216-nucleotide long non-coding RNA is filed under the name Chinchilla lanigera (long-tailed chinchilla). Its description in RNAcentral is "lncRNA (ENSCLAG00000028707.1)". The record is from RNAcentral. Lineage: Eukaryota; Metazoa; Chordata; Mammalia; Rodentia; Chinchillidae.